RNAcentral lists this long non-coding RNA (484 nucleotides) under Gossypium barbadense (sea-island cotton). Its description in RNAcentral is "long non-coding RNA (GBAR_LNC002140)". Lineage: Eukaryota; Viridiplantae; Streptophyta; Magnoliopsida; Malvales; Malvaceae. The record is from RNAcentral.
AACAAGCGAUUCUCGGGAGGCAACCCGAGCACUAACGAUGUUAACUUCUUUAAAUUUUAGUUUUUAAACAUUUAAUUCACUAACUGAGUCACUGAACACAGGAUUUCCAGAACCACACGGCCAGGCACACGGGUGUGCCUUAGGCCAUGCCCAUAUCACGGGAGAAAACACGGUCGUGCGAUACGGCCGUGUGAAAAUAGAGUAAAAAUGUUUCCCCAACACGGGAUUCGAUAAGUUGCCACGGCCGUGCAACAUGACCGUGGGCAAUCUUGCCAUAUUAACAUGAGCGUGCGACACGCCUGUGCCCACCGACCGUGGUCGAGUCUGUCAAAACAACAUGGGCGUGCGCCUGCAUACACAGGCGUGGGAGAAGUGAAUGAAGAAUGACACGGCCGUGCAACAUGGUCGUGUGCACUAAUGUGCCCAAUUUCGAAAACCACGAAACGCACGAGCUAAAAUGAGGGCACACGGGCGUGCCCCACGG